Molecule: ribosomal RNA, 1759 nt
Filed under: Pseudomonas aeruginosa
Lineage: Bacteria; Pseudomonadati; Pseudomonadota; Gammaproteobacteria; Pseudomonadales; Pseudomonadaceae
Description: partial 23S ribosomal RNA
Rfam family: Bacterial large subunit ribosomal RNA
Source: RNAcentral
UAAAUACUACUGACUGACCGAUAGUGAACCAGUACCGUGAGGGAAAGGCGAAAAGAACCCCGGAGAGGGGAGUGAAAUAGAACCUGAAACCGUAUGCGUACAAGCAGUGGGAGCCUACUUGUUAGGUGACUGCGUACCUUUUGUAUAAUGGGUCAGCGACUUAUAUUCAGUGGCAAGCUUAACCGUAUAGGGUAGGCGUAGCGAAAGCGAGUCUUAAUAGGGCGUUUAGUCGCUGGGUAUAGACCCGAAACCGGGCGAUCUAUCCAUGAGCAGGUUGAAGGUUAGGUAACACUGACUGGAGGACCGAACCCACUCCCGUUGAAAAGGUAGGGGAUGACUUGUGGAUCGGAGUGAAAGGCUAAUCAAGCUCGGAGAUAGCUGGUUCUCCUCGAAAGCUAUUUAGGUAGCGCCUCAUGUAUCACUCUGGGGGGUAGAGCACUGUUUCGGCUAGGGGGUCAUCCCGACUUACCAAACCGAUGCAAACUCCGAAUACCCAGAAGUGCCGAGCAUGGGAGACACACGGCGGGUGCUAACGUCCGUCGUGAAAAGGGAAACAACCCAGACCGCCAGCUAAGGUCCCAAAGUUGUGGUUAAGUGGUAAACGAUGUGGGAAGGCUUAGACAGCUAGGAGGUUGGCUUAGAAGCAGCCACCCUUUAAAGAAAGCGUAAUAGCUCACUAGUCGAGUCGGCCUGCGCGGAAGAUGUAACGGGGCUCAAACCACACACCGAAGCUGCGGGUGUCACGCAAGUGACGCGGUAGAGGAGCGUUCUGUAAGCCUGUGAAGGUGAGUUGAGAAGCUUGCUGGAGGUAUCAGAAGUGCGAAUGCUGACAUGAGUAACGACAAUGGGUGUGAAAAACACCCACGCCGAAAGACCAAGGGUUCCUGCGCAACGUUAAUCGACGCAGGGUUAGUCGGUUCCUAAGGCGAGGCUGAAAAGCGUAGUCGAUGGGAAACAGGUUAAUAUUCCUGUACUUCUGGUUACUGCGAUGGAGGGACGGAGAAGGCUAGGCCAGCUUGGCGUUGGUUGUCCAAGUUUAAGGUGGUAGGCUGAAAUCUUAGGUAAAUCCGGGGUUUCAAGGCCGAGAGCUGAUGACGAGUCGUCUUUUAGAUGACGAAGUGGUUGAUGCCAUGCUUCCAAGAAAAGCUUCUAAGCUUCAGGUAACCAGGAACCGUACCCCAAACCGACACAGGUGGUCGGGUAGAGAAUACCAAGGCGCUUGAGAGAACUCGGGUGAAGGAACUAGGCAAAAUGGCACCGUAACUUCGGGAGAAGGUGCGCCGGCUAGGGUGAAGGAUUUACUCCGUAAGCUCUGGCUGGUCGAAGAUACCAGGCCGCUGCGACUGUUUAUUAAAAACACAGCACUCUGCAAACACGAAAGUGGACGUAUAGGGUGUGACGCCUGCCCGGUGCCGGAAGGUUAAUUGAUGGGGUUAGCGCAAGCGAAGCUCUUGAUCGAAGCCCCGGUAAACGGCGGCCGUAACUAUAACGGUCCUAAGGUAGCGAAAUUCCUUGUCGGGUAAGUUCCGACCUGCACGAAUGGCGUAACGAUGGCGGCGCUGUCUCCACCCGAGACUCAGUGAAAUUGAAAUCGCUGUGAAGAUGCAGUGUAUCCGCGGCUAGACGGAAAGACCCCGUGAACCUUUACUGUAGCUUUGCACUGGACUUUGAGCCUGCUUGUGUAGGAUAGGUGGGAGGCUUUGAAGCGUGGACGCCAGUUCGCGUGGAGCCAUCCUUGAAAUACCACCCUGGCAUGCUU